CUCCCUUGCUACCUGGGCAGAGGCGCGUCUGGUUGGUGGCGCAGCUCUUAAAUCUAGCAGGGGCAGAGUGACGUGCCCCUAUUCAUCCCAGCACAGUUGCCUUGGCAGUGGCUGUCGCUGGUUCAUGCUGGGGGCACAAGG
This is a small nucleolar RNA of Pelodiscus sinensis (Chinese soft-shelled turtle), 141 nucleotides long. RefSeq annotates it as small nucleolar RNA SNORA48. The record is from RefSeq and is a predicted model, not a curated record. Lineage: Eukaryota; Metazoa; Chordata; Testudines; Trionychidae.